Small nuclear RNA from Phyllostomus discolor (pale spear-nosed bat), 182 nucleotides. RefSeq annotates it as U2 spliceosomal RNA. The record is from RefSeq and is a predicted model, not a curated record. Lineage: Eukaryota; Metazoa; Chordata; Mammalia; Chiroptera; Phyllostomidae. The transcript has a single exon.
AUUGCCUCUUGAUCUUUUGGCUAAGAUCAAGUGUUGUAUCUUUUUAUUAGUUUAAUAUCUGAUAUGUCUUCUAUCUGAGGAUAUUAAAUGCAUUUUUGGAGAAUGAGGAUGGAAUAGGACCUUGCUCUGUCCACUCUGUAUUGACCAGGUAUUGCAGUACUUCUGGGAAUGGUGCAUCCCCU